CAGCAGUAGCCGCGGUAAUACGGAGGGGGCUAGCGUUGUUCGGAAUUACUGGGCGUAAAGCGCACGUAGGCGGCUUGGUAAGUUAGAGGUGAAAGCCCGGAGCUCAACUCCGGAAUUGCCUUUAAGACUGCCGAGCUAGUAGGUGAGAGAGGUAAGUGGAAUUCCGAGUGUAGAGGUGAAAUUCGUAGAUAUUCGGAAGAACACCAGUGGCGAAGGCGGCUUACUGGCUCAUUCUAGACGCUGAGGUGCGAAAGCGUGGGGAGCAAACAGGAUUAGAUACCCCUGUAGUCCCUGUCUCUUAUAC
RNAcentral lists this ribosomal RNA (304 nucleotides) under uncultured bacterium. RNAcentral's name for it is "partial 16S ribosomal RNA". It matches the Rfam family "Bacterial small subunit ribosomal RNA", at positions 506 to 807 of the family's 1533-position model. The record is from RNAcentral.